RNAcentral lists this ribosomal RNA (274 nucleotides) under uncultured bacterium. RNAcentral describes it as "partial 16S ribosomal RNA". It matches the Rfam family "Bacterial small subunit ribosomal RNA", at positions 523 to 796 of the family's 1533-position model. The record is from RNAcentral.
CUACGGAGGGGGCAAGCGUUGCUCGGAUUUACUGGGCGUAAAGGGACCGCAGGCGGUCUGUCUAGUCAGAUGUGAAAUCCCGGUGCUUAACGCCGGAACUGCAUUUGAAACUGGCAGACUAGAGUUAUGGAGAGGAGAACAGAAUUUCUGGUGUAGAGGUGAAAUUCGUAGAUAUCAGAAGGAAUACCGAUGGCGAAGGCAGUUCUCUGGCCAUAUACUGACGCUCAGGGUCGAAAGCGUGGGGAGCAAACAGGAUUAGAAACCCUAGUAGUCC